UUUUAUGAGAGUUUGAUCCUGGCUCAGGACGAACGCUGGCGGCGUGCCUAAUACAUGCAAGUCGAACGCUUCUUUUUCCACCGGAGCUUGCUCCACCGGAAAAAGAGGAGUGGCGAACGGGUGAGUAACACGUGGGUAACCUGCCCAUCAGAAGGGGAUAACACUUGGAAACAGGUGCUAAUACCGUAUAACAAUCGAAACCGCAUGGUUUUGAUUUGAAAGGCGCUUUCGGGUGUCGCUGAUGGAUGGACCCGCGGUGCAUUAGCUAGUUGGUGAGGUAACGGCUCACCAAGGCGACGAUGCAUAGCCGACCUGAGAGGGUGAUCGGCCACAUUGGGACUGAGACACGGCCCAAACUCCUACGGGAGGCAGCAGUAGGGAAUCUUCGGCAAUGGACGAAAGUCUGACCGAGCAACGCCGCGUGAGUGAAGAAGGUUUUCGGAUCGUAAAACUCUGUUGUUAGAGAAGAACAAGGAUGAGAGUAACUGUUCAUCCCUUGACGGUAUCUAACCAGAAAGCCACGGCUAACUACGUGCCAGCAGCCGCGGUAAUACGUAGGUGGCAAGCGUUGUCCGGAUUUAUUGGGCGUAAAGCGAGCGCAGGCGGUUUCUUAAGUCUGAUGUGAAAGCCCCCGGCUCAACCGGGGAGGGUCAUUGGAAACUGGGAGACUUGAGUGCAGAAGAGGAGAGUGGAAUUCCAUGUGUAGCGGUGAAAUGCGUAGAUAUAUGGAGGAACACCAGUGGCGAAGGCGGCUCUCUGGUCUGUAACUGACGCUGAGGCUCGAAAGCGUGGGGAGCAAACAGGAUUAGAUACCCUGGUAGUCCACGCCGUAAACGAUGAGUGCUAAGUGUUGGAGGGUUUCCGCCCUUCAGUGCUGCAGCUAACGCAUUAAGCACUCCGCCUGGGGAGUACGACCGCAAGGUUGAAACUCAAAGGAAUUGACGGGGGCCCGCACAAGCGGUGGAGCAUGUGGUUUAAUUCGAAGCAACGCGAAGAACCUUACCAGGUCUUGACAUCCUUUGACCACUCUAGAGAUAGAGCUUCCCCUUCGGGGGCAAAGUGACAGGUGGUGCAUGGUUGUCGUCAGCUCGUGUCGUGAGAUGUUGGGUUAAGUCCCGCAACGAGCGCAACCCUUAUUGUUAGUUGCCAUCAUUUAGUUGGGCACUCUAGCAAGACUGCCGGUGACAAACCGGAGGAAGGUGGGGAUGACGUCAAAUCAUCAUGCCCCUUAUGACCUGGGCUACACACGUGCUACAAUGGGAAGUACAACGAGUCGCAAAGUCGCGAGGCUAAGCUAAUCUCUUAAAGCUUCUCUCAGUUCGGAUUGUAGGCUGCAACUCGCCUACAUGAAGCCGGAAUCGCUAGUAAUCGCGGAUCAGCACGCCGCGGUGAAUACGUUCCCGGGCCUUGUACACACCGCCCGUCACACCACGAGAGUUUGUAACACCCGAAGUCGGUGAGGUAACCUUUUGGAGCC
RNAcentral lists this ribosomal RNA (1477 nucleotides) under Enterococcus hirae. Its description in RNAcentral is "bacterial SSU rRNA". It matches the Rfam family "Bacterial small subunit ribosomal RNA". The record is from RNAcentral. Lineage: Bacteria; Bacillati; Bacillota; Bacilli; Lactobacillales; Enterococcaceae.